AACCUUCUGAACUUUUCUCAAGGUGACCUCGAUCAGUAGAUGCCAU
Molecule: ribosomal RNA, 46 nt
Filed under: Lasiodiplodia pseudotheobromae
Lineage: Eukaryota; Fungi; Ascomycota; Dothideomycetes; Botryosphaeriales; Botryosphaeriaceae
Description: partial 28S ribosomal RNA
Source: RNAcentral